AAGUCGUAACAAGGUCUCCGUAGGUGAACCUGCGGAGGGAUCAUUAAAACGUAUCCACGUAUAAACCUUUGUGAACCUGUUUUUCAUAACGAACGUGGGAGGAUAGCGCUCAAGACCUGUGAUUGAUCAAUCAGGAGGAGAUCAAUGUAUCAGGAGCUACCUCUUUUUUUCACGUCUCCUAUUUUUAACACUUAUUAACCCUAUGUAAAUUUUUAAUGUACUAACGAGUUUGAUGCGAAAGCAUUUAACUUGAAAAAACAUAAAAAAUUAUAGCACAACUCUUAGCAACGGAUAUCUAGGCUCUC
This 305-nucleotide unclassified non-coding RNA is filed under the name fungal sp. RNAcentral describes it as "partial internal transcribed spacer region". The stretch from base 1 to 46 matches the Rfam family "Eukaryotic small subunit ribosomal RNA", at positions 1786 to 1831 of the family's 1831-position model. Lineage: Eukaryota; Fungi. The record is from RNAcentral.